GAUGAACGCUGGCGGCGUGCCUAAUACAUGCAAGUCGAGCGAACGGACGAGAAGCUUGCUUCUCUGAUGUUAGCGGCGGACGGGUGAGUAACACGUGGAUAACCUACCUAUAAGACUGGGAUAACUUCGGGAAACCGGAGCUAAUACCGGAUAAUAUUUUGAAACGCAUGGUUCAAAAGUGAAAGACGGUCUUGCUGUCACUUAUAGAUGGAUCCGCGCUGCAUUAGCUAGUUGGUAAGGUAACGGCUUACCAAGGCAACGAUGCAUAGCCGACCUGAGAGGGUGAUCGGCCACACUGGAACUGAGACACGGUCCAGACUCCUACGGGAGGCAGCAGUAGGGAAUCUUCCGCAAUGGGCGAAAGCCUGACGGAGCAACGCCGCGUGAGUGAUGAAGGUCUUCGGAUCGUAAAACUCUGUUAUUAGGGAAGAACAUAUGUGUAAGUAACUGUGCACAUCUUGACGUUACCUAAUCAGAAAGCCACGGCUAACUUCGUG
This 497-nucleotide ribosomal RNA is filed under the name uncultured bacterium. RNAcentral's name for it is "partial 16S ribosomal RNA". It matches the Rfam family "Bacterial small subunit ribosomal RNA", at positions 28 to 507 of the family's 1533-position model. The record is from RNAcentral.